This 305-nucleotide ribosomal RNA is filed under the name uncultured bacterium. RNAcentral's name for it is "bacterial SSU rRNA". It matches the Rfam family "Bacterial small subunit ribosomal RNA", at positions 333 to 635 of the family's 1533-position model. The record is from RNAcentral.
UAAACCCUACGGGGGGCAGCAGUGAGGAAUAUUGGUCAAUGGGCGGAAGCCUGAACCAGCCAAGUCGCAUGAGGGAAUAAGGCCCUACGGGUCGUAAACCUCUUUUGCCGGGGAGCAAAGCGAACCACGUGUGGUUCAUUGAGAGUACCCGAAGAAAAAGCAUCGGCUAACUCCGUGCCAGCAGCCGCGGUAAUACGGAGGAUGCGAGCGUUAUCCGGAUUUAUUGGGUUUAAAGGGAGCGUAGAUGGGUUGUUAAGUCAGUUGUGAAAGUUUGCGGCUCAACCGUAAAAUUGCAAUUGGUACUG